UUGCACCAGAUUUUCAGAUUUUUCUCCUCAACUUUGAACCCUCAUUUCUUGAGUUCUAGAGCUCCAAAUUGGGUGAUUCAAAAGGCAAAAUUGUGAGGUUUUUCGUGGAAAACGCAUUGGAGAGAUUGAAAACUGAUUUGGAGCAUUCGAUUCAGAGGCUAUCUUGCGUGGAAAUUUAAGGAGAACAUCGUGGAAGUUUCAGAAUCUGUUUUUGGCAUGUCGUUCGAGGACCGAGUACCAGCUACUGUCAUGAAUAGAUCGAGCUUGUUGCAGUCAGAUUCAGAGACUAGGGUGAUAACUUGGCGUUUUUGGAUCACUUCUGUCUCCUUCAGAAUGGAUGGCCCGUCUUUUGCCUUUUGAGACUAGCCAGUUGUUGUAUAUAUAUGUCUGGUCCACUUUCGGGACUUGUACUCAUCUUUUAUUUUAUAGCAGCUCUGUA
Molecule: long non-coding RNA, 439 nt
Organism: Solanum dulcamara
Lineage: Eukaryota; Viridiplantae; Streptophyta; Magnoliopsida; Solanales; Solanaceae
Exons: 3
Source: RefSeq, a predicted model, not a curated record